GAGCACCCUUUCAAGAAACUUUACAAUAAAGGCAGGCCAAUUGAUAUUCUUCCCUUUAUUCAUGCAUUGCAUGAGAACCAGAUCCAUGUAAUUUACCAUGUGCCUUCUCUCAUGUCUAGGCAGAAGAAAACUCGUAGAGCACUUUAUGCACUGUCCUCAUUUCACUUUUCUGAACAGCCUUUGCCUCAGGCACCUCCUCAUCAGAUUUGGUGUCACAGAAGUUUCUAGUGAUUUGAAGAUCAGUAGACAAUCCAUUCAGACAAGGCCAUCUUUGCCUUGUAUAGUCAUCAAAUCCCUCACCAGGUAUGUCUAGAAUUUUGCCCAGCUUGGCAAGCAUUAAAC
This 342-nucleotide long non-coding RNA is filed under the name Nicotiana benthamiana. RNAcentral's name for it is "long non-coding RNA (NBEN_LNC025156)". Lineage: Eukaryota; Viridiplantae; Streptophyta; Magnoliopsida; Solanales; Solanaceae. The record is from RNAcentral.